GAGGGAAGCCCAGAUUGAUCUGUUAUUGUUGCUGUUAUCUUGUCGAUAAGUCAUGUCCAAUUCUUUGCAAUCCCAUGAACUGUAGCCUGUCAGAUUCCUCUGUGCGUGGGAUUUCCCAGGCAAGAAUACUGGAGUGGAUUGCCGUUUCCUACUCUGGAGAAUGGAGAAUCUUCCCAACCCAGGGAUGGACCUAGAGUCUCUUGUUUGGCAGGCAGAUUCUUUCCCACUGCGACACCUAUCGACACUGCGACACUGGGAAGCCCUACCCAGUUUUUUUAAGCUUAUAAUAGGUAUCAAGCAAUUACUGGGUGGAUGGAUGCAUGGAUGGAUGGCUGGAAG
This is a long non-coding RNA of Bos taurus (domestic cattle), 339 nucleotides long. The record is from Ensembl. NCBI's taxonomy places the organism in Eukaryota, Metazoa, Chordata, Mammalia, Artiodactyla, Bovidae.